UAGGUCUCAGUUCGGACUGUAGGCUGCAACUCGCCUACACGAAGUUGGAAUUGCUAGUAAUCGUGGAUCAGCAUGCCACGGUGAAUACGUUCCCGGGUCUUGUACACACCGCCCGUCACACCAUGGGAGCUGAGAAUACCCGAAGCCCAUGUCAAAGUGGUCGAAGGUAGGCUUGAUGAUUGGGGUGAAGUCGUAACAAGGUAAC
This 205-nucleotide ribosomal RNA is filed under the name uncultured bacterium. Its description in RNAcentral is "partial 16S ribosomal RNA". It matches the Rfam family "Bacterial small subunit ribosomal RNA", at positions 1282 to 1500 of the family's 1533-position model. The record is from RNAcentral.